AUGGCUCAGAUUGAACGCUGGCGGCAGGCCUAACACAUGCAAGUCGAGCGGCAGCACGGGUACUUGUACCUGGUGGCGAGCGGCGGACGGGUGAGUAAUGCCUAGGAAUCUGCCUGGUAGUGGGGGAUAACGUUCGGAAACGAACGCUAAUACCGCAUACGUCCUACGGGAGAAAGCAGGGGACCUUCGGGCCUUGCGCUAUCAGAUGAGCCUAGGUCGGAUUAGCUAGUUGGUGAGGUAAUGGCUCACCAAGGCGACGAUCCGUAACUGGUCUGAGAGGAUGAUCAGUCACACUGGAACUGAGACACGGUCCAGACUCCUACGGGAGGCAGCAGUGGGGAAUAUUGGACAAUGGGCGAAAGCCUGAUCCAGCCAUGCCGCGUGUGUGAAGAAGGUCUUCGGAUUGUAAAGCACUUUAAGUUGGGAGGAAGGGCAGUUACCUAAUACGUAAUUGUUUUGACGUUACCGACAGAAUAAGCACCGGCUAACUCUGUGCCAGCAGCCGCGGUAAUACAGAGGGUGCAAGCGUUAAUCGGAAUUACUGGGCGUAAAGCGCGCGUAGGUGGUUCGUUAAGUUGGAUGUGAAAUCCCCGGGCUCAACCUGGGAACUGCAUUCAAAACUGUCGAGCUAGAGUAUGGUAGAGGGUGGUGGAAUUUCCUGUGUAGCGGUGAAAUGCGUAGAUAUAGGAAGGAACACCAGUGGCGAAGGCGACCACCUGGACUGAUACUGA
RNAcentral lists this ribosomal RNA (731 nucleotides) under Pseudomonas sp. 120221_PC_C1_A7. RNAcentral's name for it is "bacterial SSU rRNA". It matches the Rfam family "Bacterial small subunit ribosomal RNA", at positions 19 to 743 of the family's 1533-position model. The record is from RNAcentral. Lineage: Bacteria; Pseudomonadati; Pseudomonadota; Gammaproteobacteria; Pseudomonadales; Pseudomonadaceae.